UUAGGGAAACCCUGGGAUUUAACCCUUCUAUAGUAUUAUUGGAUGGCAUCAUUUGAUAGUUAAAACUGAGUGGUAUAGGAUGGGCAUGCGUCUGAUUAGUUAGUUGCGGGGUAAUGGCCCACCAGACGAUGAUCAGUAGGGGUUCUGAGAGGAAGAUCCCCCACACUGGCACUGAGAUACGGGCCAGACUCCUACGGGAGGCAGCAGUAGGGAAUAUUGGUCAAUGGAUGCAAGUCUGAACCAGCCAUGCCGCGUGCAGGAAGAAGGCCUUCUGGGUUGUAAACUGCUUUUGCCAGGGGAUAAAAUUUCCAUGCGUGGAAAACUGAAGGUACCUGGUGAAUAAGCCACGGCUAACUACGUG
RNAcentral lists this ribosomal RNA (361 nucleotides) under uncultured bacterium. Its description in RNAcentral is "bacterial SSU rRNA". It matches the Rfam family "Bacterial small subunit ribosomal RNA", at positions 148 to 507 of the family's 1533-position model. The record is from RNAcentral.